Molecule: unclassified non-coding RNA, 231 nt
Filed under: fungal sp.
Lineage: Eukaryota; Fungi
Description: partial internal transcribed spacer region
Rfam family: Eukaryotic small subunit ribosomal RNA (bases 1-51)
Source: RNAcentral
AGGAGAAGUCGUAACAAGGUUACCGUAGGUGAACCUGCGGUAGGAUCAUUGACACUUUUACAACAAAAAAAAACAUGUGAAUUGAAAUGAAAGUUUAUAUUUUUUCACAAAUAUAAAUUCUUCUUUAUUGAAGAAAUGUAAUUUUUAAAUGACAGAAAAAAGUUUUCCGUAAUGGAAAAUUUUUAAAAUCAAAUUAAAAAUACAUUUUCAACAAUGGAUCUCUUGGCUCUC